GCCUCCCUGGCACAUGAAAUUAGGGAUCACACGGUGGAACGAUGAUCCCUUGUAAUGAAGGGGUUUGCCGCUCCUACCGACUCCUUUCUCACCAGUGCAGAGUGCACGGAAGUUCUCGGCCGUGCGGGGAGUGACAUCGGCGUACAGCUCCAUCACGAUCCGGCCGGCUGGUUGGCCGCCGAUUGUCAUGUCGAAGAAAACUCUAGGGUUUGGCAUUGUUGUUUGUUUCUCUGAGUUCCGA
Molecule: unclassified non-coding RNA, 241 nt
Filed under: Hevea brasiliensis (rubber tree)
Lineage: Eukaryota; Viridiplantae; Streptophyta; Magnoliopsida; Malpighiales; Euphorbiaceae
Source: RNAcentral